GACGAACGCUGGCGGCGUGCUUAACACAUGCAAGUCGAACGGAAAGGCCCUGCUUUUGUGGGGUGCUCGAGUGGCGAACGGGUGAGUAACACGUGAGUAACCUGCCCUUGACUUUGGGAUAACUUCAGGAAACUGGGGCUAAUACCGGAUAGGAGCUCCUGCUGCAUGGUGGGGGUUGGAAAGUUUCGGCGGUUGGGGAUGGACUCGCGGCUUAUCAGCUUGUUGGUGGGGUAGUGGCUUACCAAGGCUUUGACGGGUAGCCGGCCUGAGAGGGUGACCGGGCACAUGGGGACUGAGAUACGGCCCAGACUCCUACGGGAGGCAGCAGUGGGGAAUAUUGCACAAUGGGCGGAAGCCUGAUGCAGCAACGCCGCGUGCGGGAUGACGGCCUGCGGGUUGUAAACCGCUUUCGCCUGUGACGAAGCGUGAGUGACGGUAAUGGGUAAAGAAGCACCGGCUAACUACGUG
Molecule: ribosomal RNA, 468 nt
Filed under: uncultured bacterium
Lineage: Bacteria
Description: partial 16S ribosomal RNA
Rfam family: Bacterial small subunit ribosomal RNA
Source: RNAcentral